Molecule: ribosomal RNA, 463 nt
Filed under: uncultured bacterium
Lineage: Bacteria
Description: partial 16S ribosomal RNA
Rfam family: Bacterial small subunit ribosomal RNA
Source: RNAcentral
ACGAACGCUGGCGGCUUGCUUAACACAUGCAAGUCGAACGGAAAGGCCCAGCUUGCUGGGUGCUCGAGUGGCGAACGGGUGAGUAACACGUGGGUGAUCUGCCUCUAACUUCGGGAUAAGCUUGGGAAACUGGGUCUAAUACCGGAUAGGACAAUCGUUUAGUGUCGGUUGUGGAAAGUUUUUUCGGUUAGGGAUGAGCCCGCGGCCUAUCAGCUUGUUGGUGGGGUAAUGGCCUACCAAGGCGUCGACGGGUAGCCGGCCUGAGAGGGUGGACGGCCACAUUGGGACUGAGAUACGGCCCAGACUCCUACGGGAGGCAGCAGUGGGGAAUAUUGCACAAUGGGCGCAAGCCUGAUGCAGCGACGCCGCGUGGGGGAUGACGGCCUUCGGGUUGUAAACCUCUUUCGACAGGGACGAAGCUUUGGUGACGGUACCUGUAUAAGAAGCACCGGCUAACUACGUG